This 1453-nucleotide ribosomal RNA is filed under the name metagenome. Its description in RNAcentral is "bacterial SSU rRNA". It matches the Rfam family "Archaeal small subunit ribosomal RNA". The record is from RNAcentral.
ACCAGUUGAUCCUGCUGGAGGAUACCGCUAUCAGAAUUCGAUUAAGCCAUGCAAGUUUCGCGUUGGAGCUUUCCAACGCAGCAACGGCUCAGUAACACGUACUUAACCUACCCUAUGGAGGCGGACAACGUCGGGAAACUGACGGUAAUACGCCGUAGUCUUGGAUGUCUGGAACGACGCCAAAACAAUAAGGAUUGCAAAUUGUAGCAACUCCGCCUUAGGAUGGGAGUGCGGCUGAUUAGGUAGUUGGUGGGGUAAAGGCCCACCAAGCCUAUAAUCAGUAGAGGCUAUGGGAGUAGGAGCCUCGAGACGGGCACUGAGACAAGGGCCCGAGCCCUACGGGGUGCAGCAGGCGCGAAAAUUCCGCGAUGCGCGAAAGCGUGACGGGGGAAUUCUGAGUGUUUCUCUUACGAGAAGCUUUUGCCCAGAUUGAAUCUCUGGGAGAAUAAGGGGUGGGUAAAUCCUGUGCCAGCCGCCGCGGUAAUACAGGUAGCCCGAGUGGUAUCCACGAAUAUUGAGCCUAAAGCGCUCGUAGCCGGUUUUGCAAGUCCUCUGUGAAAUCUACUGGCUCAACCAGUAGGCGUGCAGGGGAUACUACAAGGCUAGGGAGUGGGGGAGGUAACGGGUACGUUAGGGGGAGGGGUAAAAUCCUGUAAUCCUUAACGGACCUUCAGUAGCGAAAGCGCGUUACCAAAACACGUCCGACGGUGAGGGGCGAAGGCUAGGGGAGCAAAUCGGAUUAGAUACCCGAGUAGUCCUAGCAGUAAAUUAUGCAGACUAGGCAUUGCAAUGGCUUUGAGCUGUUGCAGCGCCGUAGGGAAGCUAUUAAGUCUGCCGCUUGGGGAGUACGGUCGCAAGGCUGAAACUUAAAGGAAUUGGCGGGGGAGCACCACAAGGGGUGGAUGCUGCGGUUCAAUUGGACUCAACGCCGGGAAACUCACCAGGAAAGACAGCAGUAUGAAGCCCAGACUGAAGAUCUUGGCUGACAAGCUGAGAGGUAUUGCAUGGCCAGCGUCAGCUCGUGCCGUGAGGUGUCAGGUUAAGUCCUGCAACGAGCGAGAUCUCUGCCUACAGUUGCUAAUCUUUUGGAAACAAGGGAUGCACUCUGUGGGGACUGCAUGCGUUAAGUAUGAGGAAGGAAGAGGCGACGCUAGGUCAGUAUGGUCCGAAUUUCCUGGGCCACACGUGGCAUACAAUGGUGGAGACAAUGGGUCACAACGCCGAAAGGUGAAGUUAAUCCCAGAAACUCCGCCCAAGUUCGGAUUGGGGGCUGAAACUCGUCCCCAUGAAGCUGGAAUCCCUAGUAAUCGCGUGUCAUCAUCGCGCGGUGAAUAUGUCCCCGCUCCUUGCACACACCGCCCGUCAAGUCAACCAAGCGGGGUUCUAUUGAGGCUUAGCUUUAGGGUUAAAUCGAGGUAGAACUCUGUAAGGUGGAUUAAGUCGUAACAAGGUA